Molecule: ribosomal RNA, 1445 nt
Filed under: metagenome
Description: bacterial LSU rRNA
Rfam family: Bacterial large subunit ribosomal RNA
Source: RNAcentral
UUCUUAACGGAUUGAGGUGCCAAACGCGUAGGACGUUGAAGGGUGUAGGCAAAUCCGCACCCCGAGUCCGAAACGUGAUGGCGGUGCCUUAGAGCCACAAGUGAUUGAGCCAUGCCGCCAAGAAAAGCUUCUAAGCGUCGAGAUUUGAGUGACCGUACCGCAAACCGACACUGGUAGGUGGGUAGAAUAUACCAAGGGGAGUGAGAGAACCCUCGUUAAGGAAUUAGGCAAAUUUCCCCCGUACGUUCGCAAUAAGGGGGGCCUCUGGCGGUUAGCUUAGGCAAAGCUGCUGGAGGCCGCAGAGAAAUGGCUCUUCCAACUGUUUAACAAAAACACAGGUCUCUGCUAAGUCGAAAGACGAAGUAUAGGGGCUGACGCCUGCCCAGUGCUGGAAGGUUAAGGGGAGAGGUUAGGGGUAACCCGAAGCUUUGAGCCGAAGCCCCAGUGAACGGCGGCCGUAACUAUAACGGUCCUAAGGUAGCGAAAUUCCUUGUCGGGUAAGGUCCGACCCGCACGAAUGGCGUAAUGAGAGGAGCACUGUCUCAACGAGGGACUCGGCGAACAUUGAAGGACGUGUGAAGAUACACGUGACCCGCAGCGGGACAAAAAGACCCCGUGAAGCUUUACUACAACUUGCCAUUGAGUUAGGGCUAAACCUGUGUAGCAUAGGUGGGAGGCUUUGAAGCUGGGACGCCAGUCUCGGUGGAGCCACCGUUGAAAUACCACCCUGGUUUAUUCUUGGCUCUAACCUGUCGCCGUUAUCCGGCAUGGGAACAGUGGCUGGUGGGUAGUUUGACUGGGGCGGUCGCCUCCGAAAGCGUAGCAGAGGCGCCCAAAGGUUCCCUCAGGCUGAAUGGAAACCAGCCGUUGAGUGUAAAGGCACAAGGGAGCUUGACUGCAAGACCUACAAGUCGCGCAGGGACGAAAGUCGGGCUUAGUGAUCCCACGGUUCAGAGUGGAAUGGCCGUGGCUUACCGGAUAAAAGCUACUCCGGGGAUAACAGGGUAGUCUGGUCCAAGAGUUCAUAUCGACGACCAGGUUCGCCACCUCGAUGUCGGCUCAUCACAUCCUGGGGCUGGAUAGGGUCCCAAGGGUUGGGCUGUUCGCCCAUUAAAGUGGUACGUGAGCUGGGUUCAGACCGUCGUGAGACAGGUCGGUCUCUAUCCGCUGUGGGCGUAAGGGAUUUGAGAGAAGCUGCCCCUAGUACGAGAGGACCGGGGUGGACGGACCUCUAGUGUGCCAGUUGUUCUGCCAAGAGCAUUGCUGGGUAGCUAAGUCUGGCAGCGAUAACCGCUGAAAGCAUCUAAGUGGGAAACGCGCCUCAAGAUGAGAUCCCCCACUGUAAAAGGGUAAGUGCACCGGGAGACUACCGGUUAGAUAGGCGGCAGGUGUACGCACUGAGAGGUGUUGAGCCGAGCCGUACUAAUGCACGAGGACUUAAUCCA